This 1353-nucleotide long non-coding RNA is filed under the name Equus caballus (horse). RNAcentral describes it as "lncRNA (ENSECAG00000047713.1)". The record is from RNAcentral. Lineage: Eukaryota; Metazoa; Chordata; Mammalia; Perissodactyla; Equidae.
GUUGUUAUCAUCACCUUCAGAUGAGGAAUUGAGGCUGACUGAGGUCAAGUACCUGCCAGAGAUCACCCAGCUCGCAAGUGCUGGAGUUGAGAUUGGACCCCAAGCUUGUCUGACCCCAACCCCCUGCACUCAACCAAAAUGGUACAUCAUUGCCCAGGUGUGAUGCUGGGCGCGAGAUUCUGGCAACAGCCCCGCCUGGAACUCAGGAUGUCAAAGCUUCUCAUGACCGCCUAAAUGAGAUGAAAUUAGGAGAAUGACAUGACUCUCCUUGUAGCAUCUAAGGCCUUCUCCAUCUCCCACCGUCGUGGUGGGAGAAGAGCUGGUCAGGGUUCUGACGGCCUGGGAUCCUGGUGCUGUGUCUCGCUCUUUGCAGGAUGAGCCCACCCAGGAAGAAACACACACCCCAUAGCUUUUCCUCAAGGCUCUCCUCCCAGACUGGGCUUCCACGCUGAAUGCCUCCUGCAAUGGAUAAAGGCAUCUAAGUGUCCCUCAGUUGCCUUAUCAUGGGCAUCUUUAAGGCCUGGGAUUUUGGAAAACAUCCCUGAGAAUGUACAACCCGCCGUGUGCCUGUUUGUUCCCGACCGCAGAGAGUAGAGGGGCUGGGAGAGAAGUCAUGACCAUCUCCAGGGAGCGAGGAAGGCUUUGCCCUCCCACGCCACUCCACUGCCUCUGAGCCCGGGGUGCAGUGCAAAGCCAGGAGAGAAGGCUGGAGCUUGUUGUUCUGCGCCUGGGUGUUUUCAAGUUUAUGCUUCUAGACAAACAAGCCCGGAGGAGCCGAAGACAACGCGGACAUCUAAAAGCUGCCCCUCAAAUUAACACCUUUCGUCUCAGCUUUGAUUCCUUUCGGAGACACACCUGAACAUGAAGAACUGAUGCCGUUAUCUCACCAGAUCUGAGUUUGGGGGAAUUGUCCAAGUUCUGCUUCCUUCCUCUGCAUUGGGACAGAUCCAGGGUGGGAGAGAGAAACAGCAUUAUGACGAGGAGAGAGCGGCUCCGUUGUUCCUCAUUAUGAUUAUUAUUUGCAGAAAGGCCCAGUGCACAUUCAGCAGGGUUGUAAGUGCCCAGAAGGUGGUGGGGAAUGCCCCUGGUCAUUCUCAGGGAAGUUAGCCCGGCUCCCCUCCGCCAGCAUCAGAUAACAGCUAAGAUGCUAGGAGCAAAGCUAAGCCAAGCCUGCAUCCUGGCUGGUCAGACGCAGAAACCGGGGAGAAGGAAAUGGAAAGCCAGAGAAGCAGAAAAGGAGAGCCACAAAUGGGACAGGACAAGGCUGGGCAGAAAGUACGACGGAGAAGAAAGAUGGAAAAGCAGACAACAUGCAGGAGAGGUGGCGAAAAUGAUGCCCACUGUCCUCAGGCC